RNAcentral lists this ribosomal RNA (458 nucleotides) under uncultured bacterium. Its description in RNAcentral is "SSU rRNA". It matches the Rfam family "Bacterial small subunit ribosomal RNA", at positions 26 to 518 of the family's 1533-position model. The record is from RNAcentral.
AGAAUCAACGCUGGCGGCGUGCCUAACACAUGCAAGUCGCACGAGAAAGGGACUUCGGUCCUGAGUACAGUGGCGCACGGGUGAGUAACACGUGAAUAAUCUACCUCCGAGUGGGGAAUAACUGAGAGAAAUCUUAGCUAAUACCGCAUAACACUUACGAGUCAAAGCAGCAAUGCGCUUGGAGAGGAGUUCGCGGCAGAUUAGUUAGUUGGCGGGGUAAUGGCCCACCAAGACGAUGAUCUGUAUCCGGCCUGAGAGGGCGCACGGACACACUGGAACUGAAACACGGUCCAGACUCCUACGGGAGGCAGCAGUGGGGAAUUUUGCGCAAUGGGGGAAACCCUGACGCAGCAACGCCGCGUGGAGGAUGAAAUCCCUUGGGAUGUAAACUCCUUUCGAUCGGGAAGAUAAUGACGGUACCGAGAGAAGAGCCCGGCUAACUUCGUGCCAGCAGCCGC